GGGUCGUCAACAUUUGCAUUUUAAAGAAUUUCAAUAUAAAACUCUUAUCUGCUUGUGAGCCUGAAUAAUAUCAGGAUAUCAGAAAUCUACCAGUGUUUUACUGCUAUGGCGGCUCCGACUUCAACGCUCGCCCUCUAGAUGGAAACAAACGGGAACAGAAGUGAACAGUGUGACACUGCAUGGAUUGUAAUCGGUAGCAUCCUCACUCCCUUAUCCCUACCCAAACAGUUUUUGGUCGAUUGUCAGAAAUAAUUGACGACGCUGGUCGCGAGUCAGUAUUCCGACCAAUAGACCCCUAUCCACGAUGGCA
RNAcentral lists this small RNA (310 nucleotides) under Histoplasma capsulatum. RNAcentral's name for it is "hypothetical RNA". The record is from RNAcentral. RNAcentral also lists the same sequence under 1 other name. Lineage: Eukaryota; Fungi; Ascomycota; Eurotiomycetes; Onygenales; Ajellomycetaceae.